Molecule: long non-coding RNA, 975 nt
Filed under: Mytilus galloprovincialis (Mediterranean mussel)
Lineage: Eukaryota; Metazoa; Mollusca; Bivalvia; Mytilida; Mytilidae
Source: RNAcentral
AUACUGUAUAAAGCAAUAAUACUUUUUUGUGUGUUUUUAUGAUAGAAGUAUGAAUAUAUGCUUCCAGUUGUAUUUGAUUCUUAAAAAAUACCUCCUACUCGUUUUUGCCAUGUUGAAUGUUUUGUAUCAAAUUGGUGAGAAUUCCUUAUUUUUUGUUAAGUCUUGUUUUUAAUGUCAUGUUGCCUAUUGUUAAGAUUUUGUUACAAUGAUACAUUUGGUGAGAGUAACCAAUAGUGAUUAGGUCAUGUUGUUGCUAUUAUUGAUAAUUAUGUGAUUCUUGCUGGACCAUUUUCUGAUUUCAAUACAAAAGUACAAAACUAACAUUGAUUUUUUAACAAUCACAGAUUUGGAUACUUUUAAUUCAGAAUUAAUGCAUACUGAUCGAGAAAUCACCAGAAAUUUGUUAAUUUUCUGAAUUAUUUGACAUGAAUAAAUAUAAAUGAAACUUUAUGAUUUUUUUAGGAAAAUAUAAAAUAGGGACUAUUUUAAAUGAAAUAUUUGAUGAUCCUACAUUAAUUAAGCAAUUGUGCACACUUUAAAACUGUUUAUUUUUCGACCUUUCACACACAAACCUAUUGUUUCUAGCUGGUGAAAAGUUGUCUCAUCAGCAAGUAUACCACAUCUUCUUAUUUUCAUAUACAAAUGGAAGUUUUUAACGACCUUGACUGGCUAUACAGCCCUUGCACAGUCGGCCAAUACCGAACAGGCCUACAGCAAUUGGUUAACUACAUGGAUUAUUGAAUUUAUAAACUUUGUUCCUAGUCUUUUAAAUUAUUUUAUUGAUAUCAGAUUAUGGAUCCAGCAAUAUUUUAUUUAAGAUUUGUAUAUAUCUAAUAUAAACAUUUCCAUCAGAUUAUACAGGUGUCUGUGAAAUAUAGAAAUGUAGAGUGAUUGGUUUUAGUCUUAUAUCUUUAUCGAUAUUAUGUAUAUUUAUUCUAUGGAAGAAAAAUAUGAAAAAGAAAUAAAAAGAUGAAA